UGGGGAAUAUUGCACAAUGGGGGAAACCCUGAUGCAGCGACGCCGCGUGAGCGAAGAAGGUUUUCGAAUCGUAAUGCUCUGUCCUAUGGGAAGAUAAUGACGGUACCAUAGGAGGAAGCCCCGGCUAACUACGUGCCAGCAGCCGCGGUAAUACGUAGGGGGCAAGCGUUGUCCGGAAUCACUGGGCGUAAAGGGUUCGCAGGCGGAAAUGCAAGUCAGUUGUGAAAGGCAGAGGCUCAACCUCUGUAAGCAAUUGAAACUGUAUUUCUUGAGAUGUGGAGAGGCAAGUGGAAUUCCUAGUGUAGCGGUGAAAUGCGUAGAUAUUAGGAAGAAUACCGGUGGCGAAGGCGACUUGCUGGACACAAACUGACGCUGAGGAACGAAAGCGUGGGUAGCAAACAGG
RNAcentral lists this ribosomal RNA (403 nucleotides) under Fusobacteriota bacterium. RNAcentral's name for it is "Fusobacteria bacterium partial 16S ribosomal RNA". It matches the Rfam family "Bacterial small subunit ribosomal RNA", at positions 355 to 776 of the family's 1533-position model. Lineage: Bacteria; Fusobacteriati; Fusobacteriota. The record is from RNAcentral.